This 536-nucleotide ribosomal RNA is filed under the name uncultured bacterium. RNAcentral describes it as "bacterial SSU rRNA". It matches the Rfam family "Bacterial small subunit ribosomal RNA", at positions 777 to 1320 of the family's 1533-position model. The record is from RNAcentral.
AAUAGAUACCCAGGUAGUCCACGCCGUAAACGAUGGAUACUAGCUGUUGGGGGCAACUUCAGUGGCUAAGCGAAAGUGAUAAGUAUCCCACCUGGGGAGUACGAACGCAAGUUUGAAACUCAAAGGAAUUGACGGGGGCCCGCACAAGCGGUGGAGCAUGUGGUUUAAUUCGAUGAUACGCGAGGAACCUUACCAAGGCUUAAAUGCAGACUGACCGAUUUGGAAACAGAUCUUUCGCAAGACAGUUUACAAGGUGCUGCAUGGUUGUCGUCAGCUCGUGCCGUGAGGUGUCAGGUUAAGUCCUAUAACGAGCGCAACCCCUGUUGUUAGUUGCCAGCGAGUAGUGUCGGGAACUCUAACAAGACUGCCAGUGCAAACUGUGAGGAAGGUGGGGAUGACGUCAAAUCAUCACGGCCCUUACGCCUUGGGCUACACACGUGCUACAAUGGCCGGUACAGAGAGCAGCCACCCCGGCGAGGGGGAGCGAAUCUAUAAAGCCGGUCACAGUUCGGAUCGGAGUCUGCAACUCGACUCCG